GGCGCUAUAGUGUAGUGGUUAUCACUCGGGAUUUUGAUAUAUUGUCAAUAUUCCCGAAACCCAGGUUCGAACCCUGGUAGCGCCU
Molecule: transfer RNA, 85 nt
Filed under: Amanita muscaria Koide BX008
Lineage: Eukaryota; Fungi; Basidiomycota; Agaricomycetes; Agaricales; Amanitaceae
Rfam family: tRNA
About the family: Transfer RNA (tRNA) molecules are approximately 80 nucleotides in length. Their secondary structure includes four short double-helical elements and three loops (D, anti-codon, and T loops). Further hydrogen bonds mediate the characteristic L-shaped molecular structure. tRNAs have two regions of fundamental functional importance: the anti-codon, which is responsible for specific mRNA codon recognition, and the 3' end, to which the tRNAs corresponding amino acid is attached (by aminoacyl-tRNA synthetases). tRNAs cope with the degeneracy of the genetic code in two manners: having more than one tRNA (with a specific anti-codon) for a particular amino acid; and 'wobble' base-pairing, i.e. permitting non-standard base-pairing at the 3rd anti-codon position.
Source: Rfam by way of RNAcentral